RNAcentral lists this ribosomal RNA (253 nucleotides) under uncultured bacterium. RNAcentral's name for it is "partial 16S ribosomal RNA". It matches the Rfam family "Bacterial small subunit ribosomal RNA", at positions 524 to 776 of the family's 1533-position model. The record is from RNAcentral.
UACGAAGGGGGCUAGCGUUGCUCGGAUUGACUGGGCGUAAAGGGCGCGUAGGCGGUUUGCACAGUCAGACGUGAAAUUCCUGGGCUCAACCUGGGGGCUGCGUUUGAUACGUGUAGACUUGAGUGCGGAAGAGGGUCGUGGAAUUCCCAGUGUAGAGGUGAAAUGCGUAGAUAUUGGGAGGAACACCAGUGGCGAAGGCGGCUCACUGGACCGGAACUGACGCUGAGGCGCGAAAGCGUGGGGAGCAAACAGG